AGGUCUAGCCUGCCCAGUGACAAAGUUAAACGGCCGCGGUACCCUGACCGUGCGAAGGUAGCAUAAUCACUUGUUCUUUAAAUGGGGACUAGUAUCAACGGCAUCACGAGGGCUUACCUGUCUCCUUUUUCUAAUCAGUGAAACUGCUCUCCCUGUGAAGAAGCAGGGAUAUUAAUAUAAGACGAGAAGACCCCAUGGAGCUUUAAACCCAACAUGUCUGUUGGUUUUAGGUUGGGGUGACCGCGGAGUAUAACCGAACCUCCCCUUUAUCCAAGAGCCACAUCUCUAAGAAUUAAAACAUUAACAUAAGAUGAUCCCAACGGACCAAGUUACCCUGGGGAUAACAGCGCAAUCCAUUUCGAGAGCUCCUAUCGACAAAUGGGUUUACGACCUCGAUGUUGGAUCAGGGUAUCCCAGUGGUGCAGCAGCUACUAACGGUUUGUUUGUUCAACUGAGU
This 457-nucleotide ribosomal RNA is filed under the name Sphaerotheca breviceps (Indian burrowing frog). Its description in RNAcentral is "partial 16S ribosomal RNA". It matches the Rfam family "Bacterial large subunit ribosomal RNA", at positions 1850 to 2590 of the family's 2925-position model. The record is from RNAcentral. Lineage: Eukaryota; Metazoa; Chordata; Amphibia; Anura; Dicroglossidae.